This 374-nucleotide ribosomal RNA is filed under the name uncultured organism. RNAcentral's name for it is "partial 16S ribosomal RNA". It matches the Rfam family "Bacterial small subunit ribosomal RNA", at positions 527 to 896 of the family's 1533-position model. The record is from RNAcentral.
GUAGGUGGCAAGCGUUGUCCGGAAUUAUUGGGCGUAAAGCGCGCGCAGGCGGUUCUUUAAGUCUGAUGUGAAAGCCCACGGCUCAACCGUGGAGGGUCAUUGGAAACUGGAGAACUUGAGUACAGAAGAGGAAAGCGGAAUUCCACGUGUAGCGGUGAAAUGCGUAGAGAUGUGGAGGAACACCAGUGGCGAAGGCGGCUUUCUGGUCUGUAACUGACGCUGAGGCGCGAAAGCGUGGGGUAGCAAACAGGAUUAGAUACCCUGGUAGUCCACGCCGUAAACGAUGAGUGCUAAGUGUUAGGGGGUUUUCCGCCCCCCUUAGUGCUGCAGCUAACGCAUUAAGCACUCCGCCUGGGAGUACGGCCGCAAGGCUG